RNAcentral lists this transfer RNA (70 nucleotides) under Dipodomys ordii (Ord's kangaroo rat). It matches the Rfam family "tRNA". Rfam says of the family: Transfer RNA (tRNA) molecules are approximately 80 nucleotides in length. Their secondary structure includes four short double-helical elements and three loops (D, anti-codon, and T loops). The record is from Rfam by way of RNAcentral. Lineage: Eukaryota; Metazoa; Chordata; Mammalia; Rodentia; Heteromyidae.
GGGAAUGUGGCUUAGUGGUAGAGCGCUUGCCUAGCAUGCAAGAAACCCUGGGUUUAGUUCCUCAGUACUA